RNAcentral lists this transfer RNA (70 nucleotides) under Cociella crocodilus (crocodile flathead). Its description in RNAcentral is "tRNA-Tyr". It matches the Rfam family "tRNA". From Rfam's summary of the family: Transfer RNA (tRNA) molecules are approximately 80 nucleotides in length. Their secondary structure includes four short double-helical elements and three loops (D, anti-codon, and T loops). Lineage: Eukaryota; Metazoa; Chordata; Actinopteri; Perciformes; Platycephalidae. The record is from RNAcentral.
GGUAGGAUGGCUGAGUUUUAAGUAGUGGGUUGUAGCCCCAUAGACAGGGGUUUGAUUCCUCUUCCUAUCA